RNAcentral lists this long non-coding RNA (956 nucleotides) under Astyanax mexicanus (Mexican tetra). Its description in RNAcentral is "lncRNA (ENSAMXG00005002756.1)". Lineage: Eukaryota; Metazoa; Chordata; Actinopteri; Characiformes; Acestrorhamphidae. The record is from RNAcentral.
GUAUCCUAGAAUAUCAUACCAUAAUAACAUACAUCUAAAAUAUAUAAAUUAUAAAUAAACACAGCAAGAUUCAGGGGGAAUUUUUUUUUAUUCAGUUUAGACAAAUUUACUGAUAGAUAAGAGUGAAGGAGAAACAGCACCUGAACAGAAACUCUUACUGAUGUACUGAGUACUACCAAGAACUGUUAACGAUGUCACCAAAACAAACUAUACUAAAAAAAUCAUUAGUUUCAUCCUAUAUUCUGAGAACCGUGAUGUCAUGAGGAAACUCAGUGAUGUCAUAAGGAGUAUUAGUGAUGUCACAAAGAGAGUCUAUAAUCUGAGAAUCAGCGAUGCCAUGAUGAGAAUGAGUGAUGUCAUGAGGAGUAUUAGUGACGUCACUAAGAGAGUCUAUACUCUGAGAAUCAGCGAUGUCAAGACUACAGUCUAUACUCUGAGAAUCAGUGAUGGCAUGAGAAGUAUUAGUGAUGUCACUAAGAGAGUCUAUACUCUGAGAAUCAGCGAUGUCACGACUACAGUCUAUACUCUGAGAAUCAGCGAUGUCAAGACUACAGUCUGUACUCUGAGAAUCAGCAAUGUCACUACUACAGUCUAUACUCUGAGAAUCAGUGAUGUCACGACUACAGUCUGUACUCUGAGAAUCAGCGAUGUUAUGACUACAGUCUAUACUCUGAGAGUCAGUGAUGUCACGACUACAGUCUCUACUCUGAGAAUCAGUGAUGUCAUCAACACAGACUAUAGUAGGUUUAUAUGGAAGGUUCUGGAUGUUGUGAAUGAACCUCUCAACAGCUGUUCUAUUAAAAGCAUCACUGAAUCUCGUGUUUAGAAAUGUGUUGUAAGACUUUUCUAGGUCUGAAGUCCACCAGCUCAGGAACUCAGAUUUAAACGUCUCACAGAUGGUAUUACAGACACUCUGAUUAAUCUGCUCACUGAAUAAAGCUCUCAGUGACUUUUCA